This 353-nucleotide ribosomal RNA is filed under the name uncultured bacterium. Its description in RNAcentral is "bacterial SSU rRNA". It matches the Rfam family "Bacterial small subunit ribosomal RNA", at positions 22 to 356 of the family's 1533-position model. The record is from RNAcentral.
GCUCAGGAUGAACGCUGGCGGCGUGCUUAACACAUGCAAGUCGAACGGAGUGCCUUAGAAAGAGGAUUCGUCCAAUUGAUAAGGUUACUUAGUGGCGGACGGGUGAGUAACGCGUGAGGAACCUACCUCGGAGUGGGGAAUAACAGACCGAAAGGCCUGCUAAUACCGCAUGAUGCAGUUGGACCGCAUGGUCCUGACUGCCAAAGAUUUAUCGCUCUGAGAUGGCCUCGCGUCUGAUUAGCUUGUUGGCGGGGUAAUGGCCCACCAAGGCGACGAUCAGUAGCCGGACUGAGAGGUUGGCCGGCCACAUUGGGACUGAGACACGGCCCAGACUCCUACGGGAGGCAGCAGUA